UAACAAUGAUUCCCUCAGUAACGGCGAGUGAAGAGGGAUAAGCUCAAAUUUUAAAUCUGUUGGGUUUUAACAGAGUUGUAUUUUGAAGAACGUUUCUGCAUCAGGUAGCCUAAAUCCUUUGGGAUAAGGUAUCAUGGAGGGUGAGAAUCCCGUUCAGUUAAUCUUGAGCUCUACGAUACGUUUCCAAGAGUCGAGUUGUUUGGGAUUGCAGCUCAAAUGGGAGGUAAAUUUCUCCUAAGGCUAAUAUUGGCGAGAGACCGAUAGCGAACAAGUACCGUGAGGGAAAGAUGAAAGAACUUUGAAAGAGAGUUAAACAGUACGUGAAAUUGUUGAAAGGGAAACGAUUGAAG
This 350-nucleotide ribosomal RNA is filed under the name uncultured Glomeromycotina. RNAcentral describes it as "eukaryotic LSU rRNA". It matches the Rfam family "Eukaryotic large subunit ribosomal RNA", at positions 66 to 428 of the family's 3401-position model. Lineage: Eukaryota; Fungi; Glomeromycota. The record is from RNAcentral.